Halichondria panicea is the source of this 155-nucleotide small nuclear RNA. RefSeq annotates it as U12 minor spliceosomal RNA. NCBI's taxonomy places the organism in Eukaryota, Metazoa, Porifera, Demospongiae, Suberitida, Halichondriidae. The record is from RefSeq and is a predicted model, not a curated record. The transcript has a single exon.
UUGCCUUAAACUAAUGAGUAAGGAAAAUAACAGAUCCCAGUGACGCGGGAUCCCACGAAUUUUAACGUGAUGUAAUUUUUGAGGGGAGACAGGCCACCCCUGGGUGACCCACCUACUUUAGUGGGAUGCCCUUGUGUUUGUGGUCUCCAAUUCCC